This 427-nucleotide ribosomal RNA is filed under the name uncultured bacterium 1405-2. RNAcentral's name for it is "partial 16S ribosomal RNA". It matches the Rfam family "Bacterial small subunit ribosomal RNA", at positions 528 to 954 of the family's 1533-position model. Lineage: Bacteria; Pseudomonadati; Pseudomonadota; Gammaproteobacteria. The record is from RNAcentral.
GAGGGUGCAAGCGUUAAUCGGAAUUACUGGGCGUAAAGCGUGCGUAGGCGGCCUGUUAAGUCAGAUGUGAAAKCCCUGGGCUCAACCUGGGAACKGCAUUUGAAACUGGCARGCUAGAGUUAGGUAGAGGGAAGUGGAAUUYCAGGUGUAGCGGUGAAAUGCGUAGAUAUCUGAAGGAACACCAGUGGCGAAGGCGGCUUCCUGGACCMAAACUGACGCUGAGGUACGAAAGCGUGGGUAGCAAACAGGAUUARAUACCCUGGUAGUCCACGCCGUAAACGAUGWCGACUAGCCGUUGGGCUCUUAAAGASUUUAGUGCCGCAGCUAACGCAUUAAGYMKACCGCCUGGGGAGUACGGCCGCAAGGYUAAAACUCAAAKGAAUUGACGGGGGCCCGCACAAGCGGUGGAGCAUGUGGUUUAAUUCGA